This 253-nucleotide ribosomal RNA is filed under the name uncultured bacterium. Its description in RNAcentral is "partial 16S ribosomal RNA". It matches the Rfam family "Bacterial small subunit ribosomal RNA", at positions 524 to 776 of the family's 1533-position model. The record is from RNAcentral.
UACAGAGGUCUCAAGCGUUGUUCGGAUUCAUUGGGCGUAAAGGGUGCGUAGGCGGCGCGGUAAGUCGGGUGUGAAAUCUCGGAGCUUAACUCCGAAACUGCAUUCGAUACUGCCGUGCUUGAGGACUGGAGAGGAGACUGGAAUUUACGGUGUAGCGGUGAAAUGCGUAGAUAUCGGGAGGAACACCAGUGGCGAAGGCGAGUCUCUGGGAUGAUGCUGACGCUGAGGCGCGAAAGCCAGGGGAGCAAACGGG